UACGUAGGGACCAAGCGUUGUUCGGAUUUACUGGGCGUAAAGGGCGCGUAGGCGGCGUGGUAAGUCACUUGUGAAAUCUCUGAGCUUAACUCAGAACGGCCAAGUGAUACUGCUGUGCUAGAGUGCAGAAGGGGCAAUCGGAAUUCUUGGUGUAGCGGUGAAAUGCGUAGAUAUCAGGAGGAACACCGGUGGCGAAGGCGGGUCUCUGGGCCGAUACUGACGCUGAGGAGCGAAAGCGUGGGGGAGCAAACAGG
RNAcentral lists this ribosomal RNA (254 nucleotides) under uncultured bacterium. RNAcentral's name for it is "partial 16S ribosomal RNA". It matches the Rfam family "Bacterial small subunit ribosomal RNA", at positions 524 to 776 of the family's 1533-position model. The record is from RNAcentral.